Molecule: unclassified non-coding RNA, 71 nt
Filed under: soil metagenome
Description: partial internal transcribed spacer 1
Source: RNAcentral
UUGAUUUUAGUUAUUUGUGAACGCUACUACGAACAAACAAAAAAAUAUUAUAGUCAAAAAAGAUUAAAUCA